UUAUUACUGUGCGCAUCUGGGAUGCUCCCUUAUACCUUAUAUUAAUAAAAUAAGAAAAUGCUAUAACUGUAGCAGAUGGAGUCACCCUACAAACACAUACAAAAGUAAGAUUAGAUGUGAAUAUUGUGGACAAAAACAUCUAUCAUUAAAUUGUAAUAGGAAGAACCCCAAGUGUGGGAACUGUGGUGGAGAACAUUCCUCCCUUGAUAGUUCAUGCAUGGCCUCCCAGAUAACACAGAGAUGAACAGAAAUUCCUAAAAAAGUUAUUUUAAUGAUGAAUACUUGGAGAAGUAGAAAAAUGAAUACAUAAAGAAUUCUUGAGGAAUUAGCCACAAUGAGUUCACAUUGAAGUAUUCCUUAAGAGUUUAUUGUAAUGAAUACCUCGCGAUUUAUCAUUUGGAAUAUUUAGAGUAUUCAUAGAAAAGUCAUUUUAAAGAAUACUUGGCGAAGUAGAAAAAUAAAUACAUAAAGAAUUCUUGAGGAAUUAGCCACAAUGAGUUCACAUUGAAGUAUUCCUUAAGAGUUCAUUUCAAUGAAUACUUCGCGAUUUAUUAUUUACAAUACUUUGAGUAUUCAUCAGAAAUUACUCGAGUGUUUGGAUAAUCUCAAUUACAUUUUUAUAAUUAUAUAUCGCUUAAUAAAUGAUAAUUUAUACUUUUAUACACGAAAUGCGCUAUAUAUAAUUAACAAAACCAUAUAUUAACAAAUAUGUAUGCAUAAACAAGAAGUGUUCAUGGAUCAUCACGGGACGUUAGGUCUUCAAAGUCAACGUUGACGAUGGUUAACACUUGGAUGGGUGACCGUUUUUUCAGGUACAGAAAUUAAACAUGCUUUAACAGGUAUGACUAUGGAUUGGCUAAAACAUGGUAUAAUUUUAUUUCUCUUACAAAAUUAAUCAGAACUUUUUUUUUAAUUUUUCUGAAAAACGUUCCAAUAUUAUAAAAAUCGGAACAUUUAUCAGAAAUCUUGAAAAUAAAUUUUUUAAUUCCGUUUGAGAUAGCUACUUGGAGAAAUCCUAAUGAAUACUUUAAGAAGUUCUGAGGAAUUCUAACAAAUAAUUCUAUAUGAAUACUUUAAGAAGUCCUGAGGAAUUCGAAUCAUGGUGCAUGUAACUUCCUACGUUAUUCUUAAAGUAUUCUUCUAUGAAUUCCUCAGGAAUUACUGUUCAAAAAGGAAGACUACUUUAUGAAUUCUUUAAGAAGACACUGUGUUAUCUGGGCUUCACUUAUUAUCAACUAAUAAAUCAUGUCAUAGCCUAUGUCAAUUGUUUUUAAUUUAAUGCCAAAAGAUUAAUUAAAGACAAAAAUAUAUCUAAUGUUCACCAGGUACCUCACUUAUUCAGAGCAUCUACUUAUAUGGGAUGGUCCUUUCAGGAGAAACUUUUUUAUAAUAAAGAAAAAUAGAUUGAUUUUAAAUUCAAACAGGAGUCUGCCCUUCAAAACCAGCUCCAAUAUUAGAACCUCUAAUAAUAGUGUGACCAUCGAUCACAAGGGAUCAGAAUAGGAAACCGGGGAAGAUCUUUCACAACAAACUCCGGGAAAGGUACUAUCAACUCAGGCAGAAGGCAUGGAUACUGAAGAUCCUCCUUUUGAAAAGGACUAAACGAUAACCCGACAAUUUCCUCAAAAAAAUGGAGGAGUGAUGUUGGUACUAACGAAAGUCCGUAGGCACUAAAUUUUAAUUUUUGUGAUUAGUAAAACUGCAUCAGUAAUAAAUCUGUCAGCGCGAAAACAUAUGCGCGGUGCAAAUACAAAUAAUAAAUGAAUCUACAAUAUAAUGUCAAAUAACCUGCUAAUACACAAAAAUUAUAAUUUAGUGUUUAGGGACUUUCGUUAGUACCAACAUCACUCCUCCAUUUUUUGAGGAAAUUGUCGGGUUACCGACUAAACAUAUAAUCUUAAUAAUAACCAGAUCUCAAACCUCUAGAACAUCAACUAUGGCUGCGGUUCUCUUGACGCUACAAAUGCUUCGAAGCGUUUGAUCAAUCGAAACAAAGAAUUUUACGAACUGACCAAUCAAAGAAUGCUUCGAAACGUUUGUAGCGUCAAGUGGACUGUAGCCUAAAUCCUCGAAAGAACGAUUAAGCAUCAACGCACGGUGUUUCCAGACUCCGUUUAACCAAGAAUUUAAUUUUAUAAUAGGAAUAUAAAUUCUAAUGUUAUAAUGUGGUGACAUUGCCAAACUAUUAAAUUCUGACCAACUAAACGACAAUAAAUGGAAGGAAUUAUUAUAUUAUAUAGCUGCUGUUCAGGAAGGAAUUAAGAUGUAACAAAUACCAUCUCAGGCUGCUCAAUUACUGGCAUAUCACCCUUUGCAAAUCCUGUUUCAAUGAAUCUUAAAGUCUAACAAUGGAACUGUAAAAAUAUUCUUGGUAAAAGACACAAAUUUUCCAACAUAAUAAAAAAAUUUGAUGUAAUAUGCCUUCAGGAAACAUCUCCAAAGAAUAGUUUUGAAUUUGGUAACUUUAUAACGAUUAGAAAUGACAGAUUAGGUUUUCCAAUAGACGGUGAAACGACUAUAUUGGUGUCAAAAGAUGUCGACGUUAAAAAAUAUGAAUUACACAUACCACAUAAUUUGAAUCUGAAAUAUACAGCAAUAUUUAUUGCUAUCAAAAAUAAAAAUAACAAAGAAAUUGUAAUAAUAUCUCUUUGCAGAUCUCCUAAUCACCAUGUGAAUAAAUCGAAAUGAAAUGAAUUCUUUGCUUAUAUUAAUAAUUUAUCAGUACAUUCGGAUAUCUGCAUAUGCGGAGAUUUUAAUGCACAAAAAUCAAUGUGUAGGUCUUCUCACUGUAUUGCUGUAGGGAAAUCUAUAGAAGUCAUAGAUGCCUCUUCUUUUCUAAUUCUUAAUGACGGCUCAUACACUAGAAUCUCGGCUAAUCCCAACUACCCCAAUGUCCCAGAUCUUACACUUGUUUCUGAAAGUUUACAGUCCACCUCAGCGUGAUCAACUGGAAUAGAUCCCAUUGGAAGCGUUUUCCUAUCACGUUCAUAUUAAGUAAUAGCUCACAAGGCAAUAAGCAUUUACAUGAAUUUUCACCAGGAGAUCGAACCAGAGUGUGGAACUAUACUCAUUAUGGUCUGAAAAUGUACUGAAGAACGCUAUAAGAUCUGGCACUAAGUUGUUGAACGAAAAAGGUUCAAUGAAGAUCUUCGAUUUGAAAAAAGGAAGUUUCAAAACACACACACACACACACACACAAUAAAACACACAUACACACAAUAAAACACUAAAGACUAGAAAAUAUAAAGACAAUCCCUGGGAUGACGACUGUAAUCAAGCCGUAAGCUAAAAGGAGAAGAGAUUAUGAGCGCCUAAAGAACAGCCAUAAUCUACUGACCUACAGAAAAACUGCGGAAGAAACAAGAAUCAUCAAAAAGAAGAAAAAUGAGAACUUUAAAACAUUCGUCAACAAUCUAAAUUCAAUGUGGGCUCAAGAGAUUUUAGCUUGCCGGCGUAAUAUUCUUGCGUAAGCUACCUGCUGCGAAGGAUUAGAAGGCGCCCAUCGCGCCCCAGCGUCGUCGAACGCGCUUGGACCUUUUUCACCAUAUCUCCAACAAUUUUCAAGGAAUCACUUUGAAACUUGCAGGAGAUAUUCUCAAGACCUUAUACUUUACGAAUAUAAUACCUUAUACUUACGCAAAAAACAAAAAAUGCAUUUUCUCAAAAUUUCUGGGUGUAUGUAACCCCUUAAUAUAUAUGUGAAAGAUAUUCUUUGGCAGAUCCCCUAUAACUGUCAAGUUAUACAAUUUGUGGACUACAUUGCAAUACUAUGCUCUGACAAAGACUUAAAUGUCAUCAAAAACUCAUUAUCUAUAGCAUUCCUGAAUAUCGAAAAAUGGUUAAACUCCUUGGGGUUAGAGAUAUCCAUCCUGAAAACUCAGUGUAUAAUUUUCAACAGGAAAAGAACCUCACCUAACAGAGGAGAAUUGACAUUGGAUACAAGAUCGUUAAAACUUCAAACUGAAGCUAAGUACUUGGGAAUGGUCUUGAACAAGGGUCUGUGAUGGUGUAGUCAUAUUAAUUCACUUAAAAUAAAAACCAUGAAAUAAAAUAAUAUUCUUAAAUGGAUAGCAGAAUCCUCAUGAGGUGUUAACCCGCUAUAAUGUCUAAGGUUUUCUAAUGCCACAGUUGGAGCACAGCUGGACUAAAGCAGUAUGUGGUACAUUAGUGCUACAUGCUCCUACACCAAAUCGUUGGAGAAAAUUCUCUGCCAAUCUUUUAAAAUAGCCACUGGUCUCCCUAGAUCUACUCCAAAUAGAGUAAUAUGCAAAUUUAGCUUCCAAAAAAGCCUUAUGGGUUGAAUAAGUUCUAAAACAAACAAAUAUUUGAUUAAAUUAAUUCAAUUAAAGUGACACUAUAAUUAACAAAAUUAAAAUUAUAUAAUAACUUAAGCUAAAAAAAUUGCAGAAAGAAACAUACUAUUUAUAGUCAAAAGGUGGCCUACAAUUAGACCAUACGAAAGGCAUCUCACCAAAUGGGAUCUCCAACCAGUUUAUUCUUUUUUUCUUCAAGCUUAUAUAGACGAGGUUGAUAUUGACCUCAAAUCAAGAAAUCUAUCUCUACUUUGUGAUAACCCAAAUAAUGCAUUCAAUAAUCUUAUUACUUUUAAUAGUACAUUGGAUGAAAAAAUAGCAAUUUUUACAGAUGGUUCACACACAGAAUUGGAUGGCGAGAAUUUCUUAGUUGGCAGUGGUUUAUAUAUUCCUUAUCACAACUCUUCUUGGAAAUACAAAUCUACCCUAUUCAAGCUCCUUCACAGCUGAGUCUAUAGCUAUUCUGAAGGCUAUUGAAAUUGCAGAAAAAAAUUAUUGGAAACACAUUAACGUUUGCACCAACUCUAAAAGUAACCUAGAUGUAAUAGGGUCUUCCUCUGAGAUAUACAAGAGAUGUAUAAAAUGACAAUUAAAAAAUUUAAUCCUAUAAUGGAAACCAUUAGAACAAAGAUUAAGCGGGUAAAGGCUCAUGGAGGAUCAAUAAAAUUUUCUAGUGGUCUCACAAAAAUAUUCAGAGAAACGAGAUACGCGAAUAGGGCUGCCAAAGAUAAAGUAUUAAUAGAAGUAAUAUAGAUAAUAAAAUAACUUUCUCAGACAUAAUUAUAUCACUAGAAAAUAAUUAUGUUCAAAUUGAUGUGGACUUUCUAAAUAGGAUUAACAUUGCACUGGUAACUAUCAUAUGGAUAAGUUUUCGGAUAUUAGUAUAAUUCAAAUCUCGAAAUUCAGCUUAUCCCGAAAACAAUGUACACUGUCGAGAAUCAUAGUUGGCUUACUCUACACUAAUUCCGUAAAAAUGAAAUUUAGUUUAAGUGACUCAGCAAAAUGCGAUUGUAUUACUAUCAGGGUUCUAACCAUAUUUUUUGGGCAUGUCUCAAAUACAAUAAUGUAAGAUCUACUCUGUGCGGAAAGCUUUUGAAAUUCAAAUGUCAAUUUCCAUUUUCUACUGAAUACAUUAUAUCCAUCAUUAAUAAGAAGAUUGCAAGAGCCAUCGUCAAUUUCGUAGAUGAUAGUGACUGCGGGAAGAGUGGAUCAUUACCAUUUCAAUUCUGAAAUCAGUUGAAAAAGUGAAAGAGUAACCAAUAAAGGGUUUGAUCAACCUCCACAACCGUCGCCCUACUGAAUCAUAGAAAUCCUGGUACUUUGUCCCGUUUGGGAUAGAAAUCCAAAGGGAAAAGGAGAAGAGACUGUCGUGUUACAGUCCAGUCAUGGGCUAGUUCGAAAUGGGUCACGCGCGCAAAAUAUCUUGUAAAACCGAAAGCGGUCGUACUCGCCAAACGGAGUAUACGGCCCACGCAUACCUAUCAGAAAAAAGCCUAAAUUCACUAACUUCACUGGCAAUAGUUUUCACACGACAGUGAUGAUUUUCCAAACAUACAUACCGCCAUUGGAUCAACCAUUAUGAAUAACAAUCGUGGAUAUUUAUACUCUGCUUGGAAUAAUCAGUCGAGUAACAACUCCACAAAAACAAAUUAAUCACCGAUUUUGAGAAUACCACGACACUAACAACAAUAAUCUAUAUGAACUUUAGGCGCUAGUUGAUGAGCCAAAAUCGCUAUUUUUUGCUGGUUCUCCUUUUUUAGUAGUAUAAGAAAAAGAAAAGGGAAGAUGGCAGUUAGAGGCAACGCUUCAGUCUUUGAAUAUUGGAAACUGACAAUGACAUUAUACAAAAUCGAUAAAAUUAUAUUAAAAAAUCGUCGCCAGUGUUCAAACCCCAAAAAAUCAGACACAGCAGUUUUCUAAUCUUUCAUGAUACAUUUUUCAUUGGAAUCAUUGUAUUUGAAUGAAAUUUAACCUAGAUAUUUACAAAAUAUACAAAACAUAUAAAAACUUGUUACUCGAGAUGUUAAGUAUAUAAAAAAACUUUAC
RNAcentral lists this long non-coding RNA (6359 nucleotides) under Monomorium pharaonis (pharaoh ant). RNAcentral describes it as "uncharacterized LOC105832382, transcript variant X1". The record is from RNAcentral. Lineage: Eukaryota; Metazoa; Arthropoda; Insecta; Hymenoptera; Formicidae.